UACGGAGGGCGCGAGCGUUAAUCGGAAUUACUGGGCGUAAAGCGCGCGUAGGCUGUUGUGUAAGUUGGGGGUGAAAUCCCACGGUUCAACCGUGGAACAGCCCUUGAUACUGCGCGACUUGAAUCCGGGAGAGGGUGGCGGAAUUCCAGGUGUAGGAGUGAAAUCCGUAGAUAUCUGGAGGAACAUCAGUGGCGAAGGCGGCCACCUGGACCGGUAUUGACGCUGAGGCGCGAAAGCGUGGGGAGCAAACAGG
This 253-nucleotide ribosomal RNA is filed under the name uncultured bacterium. RNAcentral describes it as "partial 16S ribosomal RNA". It matches the Rfam family "Bacterial small subunit ribosomal RNA", at positions 524 to 776 of the family's 1533-position model. The record is from RNAcentral.